AUUGAACGCUGGCGGCAUGCCUUACACAUGCAAGACGAACGGCAGCACGGGAGCAAUCCUGGUGGCGAGUGGCGAACGGGUGAGUAAAGUAUCAGAACGUGCCCAGUCGUGGGGGAUAACGUAGCGAAAGUUACGCUAAUACCGCAUACGAUCUAUGGAUGAAAGCGGGGGAUCGCAAGACCUCGCGCGAUUGGAGCGGCCGAUAUCAGAUUAGGUAGUUGGUGGGGUAAAGGCUCACCAAGCCGACGAUCUGUAGCUGGUCUGAGAGGACGACCAGCCACACUGGGACUGAGACACGGCCCAGACUCCUACGGGAGGCAGCAGUGGGGAAUUUUGGACAAUGGGCGAAAGCCUGAUCCAGCCAUGCCGCGUGCAGGAUGAAGGCCUUCGGGUUGUAAACUGCUUUUGUACGGAACGAAAAGGUUUGGCCUAAUAAGCUGAGCUCAUGACGGUACCGUAAGAAUAAGCACCGGCUAACUACGUGCCAGCCGCCGCAGUAA
Molecule: ribosomal RNA, 500 nt
Filed under: uncultured bacterium
Lineage: Bacteria
Description: partial 16S ribosomal RNA
Rfam family: Bacterial small subunit ribosomal RNA
Source: RNAcentral